CUUGCUUCUCUGAUGUUAGCGGCGGACGGGUGAGUAACACGUGGAUAACCUACCUAUAAGACUGGGAUAACUUCGGGAAACCGGAGCUAAUACCGGAUAAUAUUUUGAACCGCAUGGUUCAAAAGUGAAAGACGGUCUUGCUGUCACUUAUAGAUGGAUCCGCGCUGCAUUAGCUAGUUGGUAAGGUAACGGCUUACCAAGGCAACGAUGCAUAGCCGACCUGAGAGGGUGAUCGGCCACACUGGAACUGAGACACGGUCCAGACUCCUACGGGAGGCAGCAGUAGGGAAUCUUCCGCAAUGGGCGAAAGCCUGACGGAGCAACGCCGCGUGAGUGAUGAAGGUCUUCGGAUCGUAAAACUCUGUUAUUAGGGAAGAACAUAUGUGUAAGUAACUGUGCACAUCUUGACGGUACCUAAUCAGAAAGCCACGGCUAACUACGUGCCAGCAGCCGCGGUAAUACGUAGGUGGCAAGCGUUAUCCGGAAUUAUUGGGCGUAAAGCGCGCGUAGGCGGUUUUUUAAGUCUGAUGUGAAAGCCCACGGCUCAACCGUGGAGGGUCAUUGGAAACUGGAAAACUUGAGUGCAGAAGAGGAAAGUGGAAUUCCAUGUGUAGCGGUGAAAUGCGCAGAGAUAUGGAGGAACACCAGUGGCGAAGGCGACUUUCUGGUCUGUAACUGACGCUGAUGUGCGAAAGCGUGGGGAUCAAACAGGAUUAGAUACCCUGGUAGUCCACGCCGUAAACGAUGAGUGCUAAGUGUUAGGGGGUUUCCGCCCCUUAGUGCUGCAGCUAACGCAUUAAGCACUCCGCCUGGGGAGUACGACCGCAAGGUUGAAACUCAAAGGAAUUGACGGGGACCCGCACAAGCGGUGGAGCAUGUGGUUUAAUUCGAAGCAACGCGAAGAACCUUACCAAAUCUUGACAUCCUUU
This 929-nucleotide ribosomal RNA is filed under the name Staphylococcus aureus. RNAcentral's name for it is "bacterial SSU rRNA". It matches the Rfam family "Bacterial small subunit ribosomal RNA", at positions 79 to 992 of the family's 1533-position model. The record is from RNAcentral. Lineage: Bacteria; Bacillati; Bacillota; Bacilli; Caryophanales; Staphylococcaceae.